This 696-nucleotide ribosomal RNA is filed under the name uncultured bacterium. RNAcentral describes it as "bacterial SSU rRNA". It matches the Rfam family "Bacterial small subunit ribosomal RNA", at positions 139 to 851 of the family's 1533-position model. The record is from RNAcentral.
GGGGAUAACGUUUGGAAACGAACGCUAAUACCGCAUGAUAUUAUUGAGCUGCAUGGCUUGAUAAUCAAAGGAGCAAUCCGCUGAAAGAUGGGCUCGCGUCCGAUUAGGUAGUUGGCGGGGCAACGGCCCACCAAGCCGACGAUCGGUAGCCGGACUGAGAGGUUGAACGGCCACAUUGGGACUGAGACACGGCCCAGACUCCUACGGGAGGCAGCAGUGAGGGAUAUUGGUCAAUGGGGGAAACCCUGAACCAGCAACGCCGCGUGAGGGAAGACGGUUUUCGGAUUGUAAACCUCUGUCCUCUGUGAAGAUGAUGACGGUAGCAGAGGAGGAAGCUCCGGCUAACUACGUGCCAGCAGCCGCGGUAAUACGUAGGGAGCAAGCGUUGUCCGGAUUUACUGGGUGUAAAGGGUGCGUAGGCGGCUUUGCAAGUCAGAAGUGAAAUCCAUGGGCUUAACCCAUGAACUGCUUUUGAAACUGCAGAGCUUGAGUGGAGUAGAGGUAGGCGGAAUUCCCGGUGUAGCGGUGAAAUGCGUAGAGAUCGGGAGGAACACCAGUGGCGAAGGCGGCCUGCUGGGCUCUAACUGACGCUGAGGCACGAAAGCGUGGGUAGCAAACAGGAUUAGAUACCCUGGUAGUCCACGCUGUAAACGAUGAUUACUGGGUGUGGGUGGACUGACCCCAUCCGUGCCGGAG